UCCUGUCUGCCUUGCCUUUCAGAUGAACAGCCUAUCUUUAACAGGAGUCAGUCAUCAGCUUCCAGAUUAGGAAGGAAAAAGAAAGGGAUCAUACCUGUCAAAGGCAAAAGAGUUCCUUAGAAUCUGCAAGUAUGUCAGAUGCAGUGACUCCAGGGGUUAUUUUCUCCCUCCUCAAAAUAGUGCAAACUCUUCCUCAGAACCAUCUGCACCACUACUGAGAUUUGAAAACCAGAACACACAAAAAAGACCAUUGCUUAAUGGAUAAUGAAUAAGGGCACUCUCAAACCCACGGCAAGCAAACUGUCCAAGCAGCUAGAGCACAUAUUUGUUAGUCUCACUCCCAAGUGACAGAUACAAAUGCCACAGAAACUCAGAGCAUUUCUCUGAAGAAAAUCAGCUGAUGUCUCGCAAAUCUAGUGUGAUAUUUCUCCUCUAAAACCUUGCCUGGACUCUAAUGACAAACAAAUAGAAUGAAUGAAGCAGUGACCAAACACCAGAACAAAUAAAUACCAGUGAAUUUUCAAAUGGAAUAAUGAACUCAAGCCUCGUAUCUGCUCAUGUAGACAAAAGUGAUGAUGUUCCACUCAUUCGGAGUGACCUCACGGUUGCUGGAGAUACCCUUUUGCAGUGCUGACAGUUUGAAUGUGUACCAGAGUACACUGACACUAAAAGAAAAUGCUUGGAUCUCUGUAGAAGACAGAAGACAUAGUGUUUGUAGGAGCAAAGGAAAAAUACCAACACUUACAAGUAGUCACUGCAAAACAUAUUCAGACUGGUGAUCUGUGCACAUCAUUGUGACAGCAGCAAUAAAUCAGAAGCUCUGCAGCUGUUUCGAGGGAAGGUUUCCUGUGAACCUAAAGCCAAAGAUUAAGGUUCCAAACUGAGAGGAGCAGCUUCCUGUCAAAUAAGCCAAUGCUACUGGAUGAAUUGACCUUGACAUGACUGCUGUGAUGCCAAAAGCCACAAGCUAACUGGUAACAAUUGUUAGCAGGUAAAAGAUCCUGAUAAAGCUGGGCGCUCCACGUGUUAGACAGCAUCUUAUGAGUCAGCCUUCUCCGCCACUAUAACUUCUGAUGACCUCAACUCCCAUUGAACACCUGGAUCCAGGCUGGUUUUGGGAGAAAGUGUGGCUGUAGGCAACUCUGGCAGGUGAUGUGUUUAUUGGAUGGUGAUCAGAGAGAAAGGAUGAUAAACCAGCCAUGGUUGAGUGUUGGGGCUGGCCAGACCUUGGAGCUGGGGCUCGGUGGUCUGUGGGGUGGACCACCUGCCAUCCGCGCUGACCCACGGGCCGUGGGGUGACGUUCAGGUGGGUGCCAUCC
Chroicocephalus ridibundus (black-headed gull) is the source of this 1319-nucleotide long non-coding RNA. RefSeq lists it as uncharacterized. The transcript has 6 exons. NCBI's taxonomy places the organism in Eukaryota, Metazoa, Chordata, Aves, Charadriiformes, Laridae. The record is from RefSeq and is a predicted model, not a curated record.